RNAcentral lists this non-coding RNA (29 nucleotides) under Homo sapiens (human). The record is from RNAcentral. Lineage: Eukaryota; Metazoa; Chordata; Mammalia; Primates; Hominidae.
AGGAACCUAUGUUGGCUAUUGACUGCAGA